UAAGGAAUAUUGGUCAAUGGACGCAAGUCUGAACCAGCCAUGCCGCGUGAAGGAUGAAGGUCCUCUGGAUUGUAAACUUCUUUUAUCUGGGACGAAAACGGGAUUUUUAUCUCAAUUGACGGUACCAGAGGAAUAAGCACCGGCUAACUCCGUGCCAGCAGCCGCGGUAAUACGGAGGGUGCGAGCGUUAUCCGGAUUUACUGGGUUUAAAGGGUGCGUAGGUGGGCUUAUAAGUCAGUGGUGAAAUCUCCGAGCUUAACUUGGAAACUGCCGUUGAUACUAUAGGUCUUGAAUUAUCUGGAGGUAAGCGGAAUAUGUCAUGUAGCGGUCAAAUGCUUAGAUAUGACAUAGAACACCAAUUGCGAAGGCAGCUUACUACAUAUAAAUUGACGCUGAGGCACGAAAGCCUGGGGAUCAAACA
This 421-nucleotide ribosomal RNA is filed under the name uncultured bacterium. RNAcentral's name for it is "bacterial SSU rRNA". It matches the Rfam family "Bacterial small subunit ribosomal RNA", at positions 355 to 774 of the family's 1533-position model. The record is from RNAcentral.